This 253-nucleotide ribosomal RNA is filed under the name uncultured bacterium. Its description in RNAcentral is "partial 16S ribosomal RNA". It matches the Rfam family "Bacterial small subunit ribosomal RNA", at positions 524 to 776 of the family's 1533-position model. The record is from RNAcentral.
UACGGGGGGGGCAAGCGUUGUUCGGAAUUACUGGGCGUAAAGGGCUCGUAGGCGGCCCUCUAAGUCAGACGUGAAAUCCCUCGGCUUAACCGGGGAACUGCGUCUGAUACUGGAUGGCUUGAGUUUGGGAGAGGGAUGCAGAAUUCCAGGUGUAGCGGUGAAAUGCGUAGAUAUCUGGAGGAACACCGGUGGCGAAGGCGGCACCCUGGACCAACACUGACACUGAGGAGCGAAAGCCAGGGGAGCAAACGGG